CUUAAAGGAAUUAGACGGGGCCCGGCACAAGCGGAGGAACAUGUGGUUUAAUUCGAUGAUACGCGAGGAACCUUACCCGGGCUUGAAAUGCAUCUGACCGGCCUUGAAAGAGGUUUUCCCUUCGGGGCGAGAUGUGUAGGUGCUGCAUGGUUGUCGUCAGCUCGUGCCGUGAGGUGUCGGCUUAAGUGCCAUAACGAGCGCAACCCUCAUCAUUAGUUACCAUCAGGUAAGGCUGGGGACUCUAAUGAGACUGCCAUCGUAAGAUGUGAGGAAGGUGGGGAUGACGUCAAAUCAGCACGGCCCUUACGUCCGGGGCGACACACGUGUUACAAUGGGUGGUACAAAGGGCAGCUACCUGGCGACAGGAUGCUAAUCUCCAAAACCACUCUCAGUUCGGAUCGGAGUCUGCAACUCGACUCCGUGAAGCUGGAUUCGCUAGUAAUCGCGCAUCAGCCACGGCGCGGUGAAUACGUUCCCGGGCCUU
This 484-nucleotide ribosomal RNA is filed under the name uncultured Proteiniphilum sp. RNAcentral's name for it is "bacterial SSU rRNA". It matches the Rfam family "Bacterial small subunit ribosomal RNA", at positions 900 to 1382 of the family's 1533-position model. The record is from RNAcentral. Lineage: Bacteria; Pseudomonadati; Bacteroidota; Bacteroidia; Bacteroidales; Dysgonomonadaceae.